Molecule: long non-coding RNA, 762 nt
Organism: Aedes aegypti (yellow fever mosquito)
Lineage: Eukaryota; Metazoa; Arthropoda; Insecta; Diptera; Culicidae
Exons: 4
Source: RefSeq, a predicted model, not a curated record
GUUCGUUCCGUGUGUUGCCGGAUCGAUCAGUUUUACAACACGGCUCCUGAUCUUGAUAAGGUAGAUCGCAUUGUUUGGGUGAUUUGUUGUCAUGUUCAAAUGUGAUGAUUCAUUGUGAAGAAGAUAGUUGGAUGUGAAAGUUAAAUUAUAGUUGACGAAAUUUAUCAUAUUAUUUGAAGUCCUGGAUGCGCUAGAAGAGGAAAAUUGCUGAAAAGAUAAAAAGACACUAUCUGUGAGGCACGAUUAGUAUCGGUACACCAAUAAUCUAUCGGUGAUUUUCAAUAGCCAUUAGGCUCGAAGUAGUAGGCAGACCAGAAUUUGGGUUCGGAUUGGUCAAACGAAAAUCAAGAAUUUUUUGAGCUGUCUGCAACGAGAUUGCUGCAAAAAACCGAUUUCGUCUAAUCCGAACAAACUCAAAAAAAUCUUGUGGAUCUGUUGUGGAAGUUCCAGCAACAUGAGCAAGGAAGCGUCGAAACCUGCAACGAACGUCACGGUAUGUGUAGGGUGCGCGGCCGGGUGCAACCAGUCGGAUUCGGUAGAAGAUAUGGUGCAAUGCGACACUUGCGAGUCGUGGUGGCACUAUACGUGUGCCAAUGUCGAUGAAACGGUGAAAGACAGAAGCUGGAGUUGUGUAAAGUGCCCUCCUAGGAGAUCUGUAUUGCGAUCUGGUAAGUCAUCCAAGUCGAGAGCUUCCGCGACUUCCUCAUCGAGUGUACGGAGAGCGCAGCUGCAGCUAGAAUUAGAGCGCAUAGAGAAGGAAAA